AAAGGGAGCGUAGGCCGGAGAUUAAGCGUGUUGUGAAAUGUAGGCGCUCAACGUCUGCACUGCAGCGCGAACUGGUUUCCUUGAGUACGCACAAAGUGGGCGGAAUUCGUGGUGUAGCGGUGAAAUGCUUAGAUAUCACGAAGAACUCCGAUUGCGAAGGCAGCUCACUGGAGCGCAACUGACGCUGAAGCUCGAAAGUGCGGGUAUCGAACAGGAUUAGAUACCCUGGUAGUCCGCACGGUAAACGAUGGAUGCCCGCUGUUGGUCUGAACAGGUCAGCGGCCAAGCGAAAGCAUUAAGCAUCCCACCUGGGGAGUACGCCGGCAACGGUGAAACUCAAAGGAAUUGACGGGGGCCCGCACAAGCGGAGGAACAUGUGGUUUAAUUCGAUGAUACGCGAGGAACCUUACCCGGGCUUGAAUUGCAGAGGAAGGAUUUGGAGACAAUGACGCCCUUCGGGGCCUCUGUGAAGGUGCUGCAUGGUUGUCGUCAGCUCGUGCCGUGAGGUGUCGGCUUAAGUGCCAUAACGAGCGCAACCCCUCUCCUUAGUUGCCAUCAGGUGAAGCUGGGCACUCUGGGGACACUGCCACCGUAAGGUGUGAGGAAGGUGGGGAUGACGUCAAAUCAGCACGGCCCUUACGUCCGGGGCUACACACGUGUUACAAUGGCAGGUACAGAGAGACGGUCCCUUGCAAAAUGGAUCAAAUCCUUAAAGCCUGUCUCAGUUCGGACUGGGGUCUGCAACCCGACCCCACGAAGCUGGAUUCGCUAGUAAUCG
This 778-nucleotide ribosomal RNA is filed under the name uncultured Bacteroidota bacterium. RNAcentral's name for it is "bacterial SSU rRNA". It matches the Rfam family "Bacterial small subunit ribosomal RNA", at positions 562 to 1344 of the family's 1533-position model. Lineage: Bacteria; Pseudomonadati; Bacteroidota. The record is from RNAcentral.